This is a long non-coding RNA of Macrosteles quadrilineatus (aster leafhopper), 307 nucleotides long. RefSeq lists it as uncharacterized. The record is from RefSeq and is a predicted model, not a curated record. Lineage: Eukaryota; Metazoa; Arthropoda; Insecta; Hemiptera; Cicadellidae. The transcript is spliced from 3 exons.
GCUCCACCACACCAGUUAGUUAAGUCAAAAGAAAAGUUCCUUUUGAUCAAGUGUUUACAGUGUGUUAGUAACGUCAAAUAUACUUUUAUUUAAUGCUGCUGAUGUGUUAAGGUGUGAUGAUGUAGAGUAAUAUUAAAUACAAGACUUGAUUUGCACACUAGAAAACGUAAGAGACUCACGUGUUAAGCGGAUGGUAUUUAGAACUGGGGUGUAGACACCAUGACUAUUGCUACGAGAGGACAGGGGAUCGCUGUGGACCCGCCUCCUGAUGGCCAGAAUAAUGUACAGCCGGGUACAUUGGGAGUGG